UACGUAGGCAGCAAGCGUUGUUCGGAGUUACUGGGCGUAAAGGGCGCGUAGGCGGUUCAGAAAGUCAGAUGUGAAAUUCCGGGGCUCAACCCCGGAGCUGCAUUUGAAACUUCUGAACUAGAGUGCAGUUAGGGUAAACGGAAUUCCACGUGUAGCGGUGAAAUGCGUAGAUAUGUGGAAGAACACCGGUGGUGAAGACGGUUUACUGGGCUGUAACAGACGCUGAGGCGCGAAAGCAAGGGGAGCAAACAGG
RNAcentral lists this ribosomal RNA (253 nucleotides) under uncultured prokaryote. RNAcentral's name for it is "partial 16S ribosomal RNA". It matches the Rfam family "Bacterial small subunit ribosomal RNA", at positions 524 to 776 of the family's 1533-position model. The record is from RNAcentral.